GCGGGACUACUCCCAGCGUACGCAGUGGCCACUGCCCACUGUGCUGAAAUUACAUACUCCCAGUAUACCAGUGAUGCAGUGAUACUGAAGUUGGAGUCGACGAUGAGGCGCCGAAUGUGCCCAUAAUCAAAGCAGCUGCAUUGAUUUUGGGUAAGAUUCACUUCGGUUUGGCAAUGGGCAAUGGACGAUACUCAAGUAGAGGAGAGCGGUGAUAAGUUUAAUUGGACGGAGUACACGGUUUCUAUCUAAAAUAACAAAUAAAAUUGCAAUAAGUGCAAAAGGAGGAGUUAUCGAGAUUGGAUUUUUUGAGAUUGAGUGAAGCUGAAAAAGAUGUGUAUUGGACGCUUUCCGACAAAGCAAACGACGUAAUAUCUGUUUGCGCCAGCUUUCAGAAUUGUUAGAUAUGCCGUUGAUUCAAGAGCGAGCUUCCAACCAGCAGGUUAUGCGAAACCACGCAACGAGGCUUGCAGUCUAAAGUUAGUUCGAAAAACCAGUAGCGGUGGUAAUACUUGCUGACAACCAAUGUCGAGACG
Long non-coding RNA from Anastrepha ludens (Mexican fruit fly), 533 nucleotides. RefSeq lists it as uncharacterized. The record is from RefSeq and is a predicted model, not a curated record. The transcript is spliced from 3 exons. NCBI's taxonomy places the organism in Eukaryota, Metazoa, Arthropoda, Insecta, Diptera, Tephritidae.